UUUGCUAUUGGCAUCAUUGUAUAAGAUAUGGGAGGAGGCUUGGCCUGGCGCUGGCAGUGGAGGAUGGGCUCUUGAUAUCGGGGGCUCAGUUUGGCUCUAUGCUGUGAAAAAUGUUGCUCUGCUCGUGCUCACGCUACCCAAUCACAUACUCUUCAAUCGGUUCAUGUGGGACUAUGUCAGGCAGACCGAUUCAAAGCUACUUCUGACACUGCCUCUCAACCUGCCAUCGAUUAUAAUGACAGAUGUACUUUCUGUGCGGGUUUUAGGGCUGUUGGGAGCUAUUUAUUCUCUAGCACAGUACCUGAUAUCAAGGCGGAUAAGAAUUGCUGGGAUGAAAUAUAUUUGAGGUAAAUCUUGUGUUCCUUGGCGCAACUGCUGUCAGUCGAGUCUUCAACUUCCUGAAGCAGAUCCUUGUGGUAGAGAGAAUCAGAGAAACAAUGCUCGAUGGUAAUCACUUUUGUACUGGAUGAUUGUUAUACUGGUUUACCCUUGAGGUGUUGUACUGUAGAUGUUUUGCACAGGACAUAAAAUGCAUCACCAUGGGUCCUUUACUAUGGGCUUGUAGCAAGAAAGAAAAGAAUUGCUGUUUUUCACUUGACUAAUUUUAAUGCGUUUUCAGUCGAA
This 624-nucleotide long non-coding RNA is filed under the name Triticum aestivum (bread wheat). Its description in RNAcentral is "long non-coding RNA (TAES_LNC005022)". The record is from RNAcentral. Lineage: Eukaryota; Viridiplantae; Streptophyta; Magnoliopsida; Poales; Poaceae.